CAGUAGCUCAGCUGGAUAGAGUGUUGGCCUCCGGAGCCAAAGGUCGUGGGUUCAAAUCCCGUCUG
RNAcentral lists this transfer RNA (65 nucleotides) under human gut metagenome. It matches the Rfam family "tRNA", at positions 5 to 66 of the family's 71-position model. Rfam says of the family: Transfer RNA (tRNA) molecules are approximately 80 nucleotides in length. Their secondary structure includes four short double-helical elements and three loops (D, anti-codon, and T loops). RNAcentral also lists the same sequence under 1 other name. The record is from RNAcentral.